GACGAACGCUGGCGGCGUGCCUAACACAUGCAAGUCAUGGGAGAAAGGGGUAGCAAUAUCCCGAGUACACCGGCGCAAGGGUGAGUAACGCGUAGGCAACCUGCCCUAAGGACGGGAACAACUUCGAGAAAUCGAGGCUAAUACCCGAUAAUGCAGCGGCACCGCAUGGUGACAGUUGUUAAAAGCCGUAAGGCGCCUUUGGAUGGGCCUGCGUCCCAUUAGGUAGUUGGCGGGGUAACAGCCCACCAAGCCGACGAUGGGUAGCUGGUCUGAGAGGACGAUCAGCCACACUGGAACUGAGACACGGUCCAGACUCCUACGGGUGGCUG
This 329-nucleotide ribosomal RNA is filed under the name uncultured Chlorobiota bacterium. RNAcentral describes it as "bacterial SSU rRNA". It matches the Rfam family "Bacterial small subunit ribosomal RNA", at positions 28 to 351 of the family's 1533-position model. Lineage: Bacteria; Pseudomonadati; Chlorobiota. The record is from RNAcentral.